This 929-nucleotide ribosomal RNA is filed under the name Salmonella enterica subsp. enterica serovar Butantan. RNAcentral describes it as "partial 23S ribosomal RNA". It matches the Rfam family "Bacterial large subunit ribosomal RNA", at positions 2014 to 2925 of the family's 2925-position model. The record is from RNAcentral. Lineage: Bacteria; Pseudomonadati; Pseudomonadota; Gammaproteobacteria; Enterobacterales; Enterobacteriaceae.
GGCUGUCUCCACCCGAGACUCAGUGAAAUUGAACUCGCUGUGAAGAUGCAGUGUACCCGCGGCAAGACGGAAAGACCCCGUGAACCUUUACUAUAGCUUGACACUGAACAUUGAGCCUUGAUGUGUAGGAUAGGUGGGAGGCUUUGAAGUGUGGACGCCAGUCUGCAUGGAGCCGACCUUGAAAUACCACCCUUUAAUGUUUGAUGUUCUAACGUGGACCCGUAAUCCGGGUUGCGGACAGUGUCUGGUGGGUAGUUUGACUGGGGCGGUCUCCUCCUAAAGAGUAACGGAGGAGCACGAAGGUUGGCUAAUCCUGGUCGGACAUCAGGAGGUUAGUGCAAUGGCAUAAGCCAGCUUGACUGCGAGCGUGACGGCGCGAGCAGGUGCGAAAGCAGGUCAUAGUGAUCCGGUGGUUCUGAAUGGAAGGGCCAUCGCUCAACGGAUAAAAGGUACUCCGGGGAUAACAGGCUGAUACCGCCCAAGAGUUCAUAUCGACGGCGGUGUUUGGCACCUCGAUGUCGGCUCAUCACAUCCUGGGGCUGAAGUAGGUCCCAAGGGUAUGGCUGUUCGCCAUUUAAAGUGGUACGCGAGCUGGGUUUAGAACGUCGUGAGACAGUUCGGUCCCUAUCUGCCGUGGGCGCUGGAGAACUGAGGGGGGCUGCUCCUAGUACGAGAGGACCGGAGUGGACGCAUCACUGGUGUUCGGGUUGUCAUGCCAAUGGCACUGCCCGGUAGCUAAAUGCGGAAGAGAUAAGUGCUGAAAGCAUCUAAGCACGAAACUUGCCCCGAGAUGAGUUCUCCCUGAGACUUUAGGUCUCCUGAAGGAACGUUGAAGACGACGACGUUGAUAGGCCGGGUGUGUAAGCGCAGCGAUGCGUUGAGCUAACCGGUACUAAUGAACCGUGAGGCUUAACCUUACAACGCCGAAG